RNAcentral lists this long non-coding RNA (1257 nucleotides) under Felis catus (domestic cat). RNAcentral describes it as "lncRNA (ENSFCAG00000047886.1)". Lineage: Eukaryota; Metazoa; Chordata; Mammalia; Carnivora; Felidae. The record is from RNAcentral.
CUCAUCUAAAAAUGCAGUAGGGUUAGUAUCCAUGGAUUCAGGAGUUUCCUUAGAUGUCAGGGGUCUACUCUACUAGAUUCCGGUCCUAUCUUUCAAACGGCCUUUGACAGGUAGGUACACUCACCCAUCAAACGGAUUUCUCAACUUUAUUAAAAUGUAAUCUGUCACUGUUUUUACUCUGGAAAAUUUACACAGGCAUGCAUUUACACUUCGUCUUUCCACCAGAAGCUCAAUUUUAGGAGACAGAAACGAAUUUGUCAACACUUUUCGAAUGAAGGAAUACAUACAAAAUGCGUCGCCCUUAACACAACGAUAAAAAGGAGAUGUGGAAGAAAAGGUGAAAUAUGAAAAUACAUUGUAACUGUCGUUGGCAAAGAAAAAAGAUGAAAACGUCGCAAAAAAAUAAUAGCAUACUCAAGAUUUGAGAUCUAAGUGAUGAAUCCUGUAUUUCCAAGUGGAGGAAAUGGCCUCCGUGCUAGCCGCAAAUAACUGGGCCUUCUGUUAUUUGUUGAGCAAAUUACUGGGAGCUGAAAAAUAAGAGGCAUGCAAAAUCACCUUACAGCUGACUUGUUCAGCAAAGUUCAGUGGAUGUAAGGGGUGAAAGCUGUACCUGGCAAGAAAUAAGAGAAAUUCAGCAGGCUAAAAAAAAAUGCUGCCUCCCACUGCUGCCUAUUAAAUAAGUCUUACAAUAUUGUCAGUGGCACCUGGGUUUUACUCAAAGUCAGGGAGAGAAAAUGGAAUCUUGGCAGAUUAAAGCAAUACUCGUGCUGAAAAUGUAAACGCACGUACAGAGAUACACACGUGCACACACACACACACACACACACACAACACACACACAGAGUAUGUAAUUUUUUUCGUUUGUUUCUCUUCAGGCAAAUUAGAGUGUGGACUUCCUGGCUAAUUACCCUUAUCCUGACUCCCAGAGAGCCGACCGCCUUCUCAAUAACUUACAGAAAGAGAAGUUGGAGAAGGUUAUUAACUAAGUUAUAGAACAACACUAUAAAAUUGGAUCAUGUUGACCAGGCUGCUAUUGACCAAGCCACCAUUGUUCACUGUCAUAUAGUAUAUACAUGUUCAUGUUCUUAUAUUAUAAAAAAUGUCUGGGGAAUUUUCUGUCUAAGAUCAGCAGUCAACAGUAUCUGCCCUCCCUAAACUGAGAUACACUAAACUAUUAUCAAGAGUUGAGUACAAUUCCAUCAUUCUAAGUAAUCUAGACCCAGAGUCAACCUUUAAAAAACAGAGAGAAAUAAAUAC